RNAcentral lists this unclassified non-coding RNA (695 nucleotides) under Hevea brasiliensis (rubber tree). Lineage: Eukaryota; Viridiplantae; Streptophyta; Magnoliopsida; Malpighiales; Euphorbiaceae. The record is from RNAcentral.
UGUCUUGUUUAUGAAUUUAAAUGAAGCAUGGCUGUUUAUAAGUGGGUUGCAAGAAGAAGAGGAAACUUGAAUCCUUUAUAGUAGCAGCAGGCUUUAUUCUAAUUGAUUUAAAAAUUGGCAUGAAAACUAAAUUAAUUAAAUUUUUUUAAUUAAUAUUUUGAUUUGAAAGAAUUUAUAACUUAUAAAUUAACUAAAAGUUAAUUCAUAAUUCUUUUUAUAUGAUGACUCAAUAAGUAAUUUAAAUCAAUUUAUAAUUUAAAUUCUUUCAAAAAUUAAUAAAAUUUAAAACAAAUUGAAUUCAAAUCUAAUUUCUUGAACUACUAUUGUCAAUUGUUUUGUGAACUACUACAGUUUGUUUCUUCAUAUUUUUGGAUAUAUAUAUUGAUUUGAUCAUCCUUGAAUUGGGGGGGAUUGUUCCUUCUAAGAUGCUAAAGCUGCAAUUGAAUGAGUUGAUGGUGUUUCUUUUAUUUACAUUGGUUCAUUAGUUAAAUAUAUAUGUAUAAUUUGAGUUGUUAGUUGAAUAUGUAUGUAUAAUCUGAGUUGUGGAAACUAGCUGGUUUAUGGUCAUGAUUGGAAAUGUCUUCAACACUAGCACUAUAAUAUUCAGAUAUAUGCUUAUCAUUGAGCUUAGUUUCCAAUUAACACAUUAAUGCUUGAAGUCCUUUAUAUUGAACUAAUAUUUGCUACUACUGAUA